Molecule: ribosomal RNA, 351 nt
Filed under: uncultured Streptococcus sp.
Lineage: Bacteria; Bacillati; Bacillota; Bacilli; Lactobacillales; Streptococcaceae
Description: bacterial SSU rRNA
Rfam family: Bacterial small subunit ribosomal RNA
Source: RNAcentral
GGUGACAGGUGGUGCAUGGUUGUCGUCAGCUCGUGUCGUGAGAUGUUCGGGUUAAGUCCCGCAACGAGCGCAACCCUAUGUUAGUUGCCAUCAUUCAGUUGGGCACUCUAGCGAGACUGCCGGUAAUAAACCGGAGGAAGGUCGGGGAUGACGUCAAAUCAUCAUGCCCCUUAUGACCUGGGCUACACACGUGCUACAAUGGUUGGUACAACGAGUUGCGAGUCGGUGACGGCGAGCUAAUCUCUUAAAGCCAAUCUCAGUUCGGAUUGUAGGCUGCAACUCGCCUACAUGAAGUCGGAAUCUCUAGUAAUCGCGGAUCAGCACGCCGCGGUGAAUACGUUCCCGGGCCUU